GUUUUGUUCAUAUGAUAUAUGUAUAACUUUUAGACAAUUUACUUUUGAACCAAAUGUAAACUUUCAUAUAUAUAUAAUGUAAUGGUUGUUUACUGUGAUUACUAUGUACAUUGGAUUUGAUACACAACGUGGAGUCAACCCCGGAAAUGUUUCCGCCUUUGAUUUUCGGGGUGUGACAGAUUGGUAUCAGAGCCCUUGUUUAUAGUGAACAGAGUAUACCAAACCUUACAUGGUAUAAAACUAUAAACACUAAAGGGCCUCAGUGCUCUGAAUUAAAAGUAUCUUCAAACUAUAAGUAUUUUCAAAAGUANCUUUUGUUCAUAUGAUAUAUGUAUAACUUUUGUACAAUUUACUUUUGAACCAAAUGUAAACUUUCAUAUAUAUGUAAUGUAAUGGUUGUUUACUGUGAUUACUAUGUACAUUGGAUUUGAUACACAACAUGGAGUCAACCCCGGAAAUGUUUCCGCCUUUGAUUUUCGGGGUGUGACAGAUUGGUAUCAGAGCCCUUGUUUAUAGUGAACAGAGUAUACCAAACCUUACAUGGUAUAAAACUAUAAACACUAAAGGGCCUCAGUGCUCUGAAUUAAAAGUAUCUUCAAA
Molecule: long non-coding RNA, 600 nt
Filed under: Lactuca sativa (garden lettuce)
Lineage: Eukaryota; Viridiplantae; Streptophyta; Magnoliopsida; Asterales; Asteraceae
Description: long non-coding RNA (LSAT_LNC007346)
Source: RNAcentral